This is an RNA transcript of Helianthus annuus (common sunflower), 1868 nucleotides long. It is a transcript of the gene named protein ACTIVITY OF BC1 COMPLEX KINASE 8, chloroplastic, with no coding region annotated. The record is from RefSeq and is a predicted model, not a curated record. NCBI's taxonomy places the organism in Eukaryota, Viridiplantae, Streptophyta, Magnoliopsida, Asterales, Asteraceae. The transcript is spliced from 12 exons.
AUGGCAUAGUUGUUAACGAAAGAGAUCUUCCAAAAGCCAAAUUUGCACAUGUCUACAAGGUGAAUAUAUUUUUCACGCCAGAAAUACCAAGAAUACAAUAUCAUGACAGAAAGUUGACCAUCUUCACUUGAAAAAGAAGCAAACCCCAAGUUCAUGCUUUCAUCUUGAAGAUUGAAGAACCCGUAAUUCAAACAACAGUGCAGGAAGAAUGCCUUCAAUUGAUCUCAAAGAAUUUCAAGAAAAGAUAUCCAUUCAAUUAAGACCUUUGCAAAGAUCCCUCCAGUUCUGGGCUAGGGCUGCUGAUAUCUACACAGGUUAUAAGGUGUUUCAACUUAGGGUUAGUUUUGAAAAAGAUGUGGAGAAAGCAGAGGCAAUGUGGGAGAGACAACAUGAAGAUGCUGCUGAUAAAAUUUAUUCCAUGUGUUAUGACAUGGGUGGAUUCUUUCUCAAGGUAGCUCAAGUUAUUGGGAAGCCCGAUUUGGCCCCGGCUGCAUGGGUGAGGAGAUUAGUAACCUUGUGCGAUCAAGCCCCGGGAACCCCGUCUAACGUAGUGCGCCUUAUUCUCGAAAAUGAGUUGGGUAAAACCGUUGAUGACAUGUUUGAAAGAUUUGAUUGGGAUCCUAUUGGCUCUGCUUCAAUUGCACAGGUUCAUCGAGCUAGGCUGAAAGGUGAUAAAAAAGACGUUGUAGUGAAGGUGCAACAUCCUGGAGUUCAAGAUUUGAUGAUGACGGAUCUUAGGAAUUUACAAGCUUUUGCACUAUACGUACAAAAAACAGAUAUCAAGUUUGAUUUGUACUCCGUGUGCAAAGAAAUGGAAAAACAGUGUAUGAAUUCGACUUUACAAGAGAAGCAGAAGCUAUGGAUAGAAUAAGAAGUUUUUUGAGUGAAAAUAACAAAAAGACCGUUGUUAAAGUGCCACGGGUGAUCAAGGAUGUGGUCUCUAGGAGGGUGUUGGCGAUGGAAUAUAUAGAUGGAAUCCCGAUCCUGAACCUGAAAGAUGAAAUCAUAAAAAGAGGAAUAAAUCCCGACGGUAAGGUUGCAGCAGCAGCAAAGCAGUAAGCUCCAUUGACCCGAGAGAACAUCCUAAAAAGUUUGACCCUUGCGUAUGGUCAAAUGAUACUCAAGAGUGGUUUUUUUCAUGCAGACCCCCACCCGGGAAAUAUUCUCAUUUGUAAACACUCAGAGGUGGCGUUGCUUGACUAUGGUCAAGUCAAAGAACUUCCUAACCCCUUGAGGCUCGGUUAUGCUAAUUUGGUUCUUGCUAUCGCCGAUAAUGAUCAAAUUAGGGCGUCCGAGGGCCUUAGGGAGCUCGGGAUUGAUACCUUGAGUCUGUGUGAGGAUGAACGAACAGAAUUGUUUAAGUUAGCACAAGUUAUGUUUGACACAAAGCUGCCACCUGGCGUCACGGUAUUGCAGCCUUUUGCAGAGGAUUCUUCGAUAAAGAAAAUUGCUGUUCAGGCGUUCCCAGAGGAAUUGUUUUCGGUUCUACGCACAGUGCACUUGUUAAGAGGGCUUAGUGUCGGUCUUGGGGUCAACUACUCGUGUGCUGAGGAAUGGCGACCUCUUGCCGAGGAAGCUUUAUAUUUUUCAGGCAGGCUAAAAGAUGAGGAUUUUAAGUCUAGAAACCGUCGUAGACGUAGGUUUUCCAGAAGAUCAUCGGGGUGGAGCAAGUAGCCGGAAACCGCCUCUUUCUUGUUUCUCCGACAACCAUAGUUACAGAUUAUUCAGUCUAUGUUUUCUCCAGUUUUGAUUUCGCAGUAACUUAUAUUUUAUGCAUUGGGAAUUGUUAAAAAACAUUUGAUUAUAGUUUUAGUUAAUAAAAAGCAUAUGCAAUUAGAUAUUUAUAUAUUUUAUGAACAGUUUUGGUA